GAUGAACGCUAGCGGCAGGCUUAAUACAUGCAAGUCGAGGGGCAGCAUGAAGUAGCAAUACUUUGAUGGCGACCGGCAAACGGGUGCGGAACACGUACACAACCUUCCUUUAAGUGGGGAAUAGCCCAGAGAAAUUUGGAUUAAUACCCCGUAACAUUGCGAUGUGGCAUCACAUUGCAAUUAUAGUUUCGACGCUUAAUGAUGGGUGUGCGUAUGAUUAGAUAGUUGGCGAGGUAACGGCUCACCAAGUCUACGAUCAUUAGCUGAUGUGAGAGCAUGAUCAGCCACACGGGCACUGAGACACGGGCCCGACUCCUACGGGAGGCAGCAGUAAGGAAUAUUGGUCAAUGGACGAAAGUCUGAACCAGCCAUGCCGCGUGAAGGAUUAAGGUCCUCUGGAUUGUAAACUUCUUUUAUAUGGGACGAAAAAAGGUCUUUCUAGAUCACUUGACGGUACCAUAUGAAUAAGCACCGGCUAACUCCGUG
RNAcentral lists this ribosomal RNA (486 nucleotides) under uncultured bacterium. RNAcentral's name for it is "bacterial SSU rRNA". It matches the Rfam family "Bacterial small subunit ribosomal RNA", at positions 28 to 507 of the family's 1533-position model. The record is from RNAcentral.